Molecule: long non-coding RNA, 418 nt
Filed under: Medicago truncatula (barrel medic)
Lineage: Eukaryota; Viridiplantae; Streptophyta; Magnoliopsida; Fabales; Fabaceae
Description: lncRNA gene22872
Source: RNAcentral
UCAUUGAUGUAACAAAAUCCAGAGGCUUCACAUUUCUUGGCAUGAUGUAAUCCACCAGCCCAGUUUAUAGCAAUAUCACACAGUUUAUUGUUCAAUCGGCGUGCAGCAUCUGCAGUUCCACCAGCGUACAUCUGACAAAAUUCAAAUAAGUUGUCAAACACAGGACAGUCUUCUCCGAGAUUAUCUGACAGAAAUGAUCAACAAUAAAGGUGAAACUUGUUAUUAGCUAAACAAUGAACAGAAAAUAUUAAGAUAAAAACAUUAGGAUAGGAGAAUGUUAACAUGAGAAAUUAAAUAUCAACUAUUGAAAGUGAGGAUGCAAGCUAUUAUUGAGAGGAAAAGUAACAACAAUUUGAGGGUAAAAAGAUUUGCUAUCUUCCAUAUAACUUCCCAACCACCGCCUCCUUUCUCUCUUUAA